GACGAACGCUGGCGGCGUGCUUAACACAUGCCAGUCGAACGGAAAGGCCCUGCUUUUGUGGGGUGCUCGAGUGGCGAACGGGUGAGUAACACGUGAGUAACCUGCCCUUGACUUUGGGAUAACUUCAGGAAACUGGGGCUAAUACCGGAUAGGAGCUCCUGCUGCAUGGUGGGGGUUGGAAAGUUUCGGCGGUUGGGGAUGGACUCGCGGCUUAUCAGCUUGUUGGGGGGGUAGUGGCUUACCAAGGCUUUGACGGGUAGCCGGCCUGAGAGGGUGACCGGCGACAUUGGGACUGAGAUACGGCCGAGACUCCUACGGGAGGCAGCAGUGGGGAAUAUUGCACAAUGGGCGGAAGCCUAAUGCAGCAACGCCGCGUGCGGGAUGACGGCCUUCGGGUUGUAAACCGCUUUCGCCUGUGACGAAGCGUGAGUGACGGUAAUGUGUAAAGAAGCACCGGCUAACUACGUG
RNAcentral lists this ribosomal RNA (468 nucleotides) under uncultured bacterium. Its description in RNAcentral is "partial 16S ribosomal RNA". It matches the Rfam family "Bacterial small subunit ribosomal RNA", at positions 28 to 507 of the family's 1533-position model. The record is from RNAcentral.